AAUCAACGCUGGCGGCGUGCCUAAUACAUGCAAGUCGAACGCGAGAGGGGCUUCGGCCCCAAUUGAGUGGCAAACGGGUGAGUAACACGUGGGUGAUCUACCUUCGAGUGGGGGAUAACGUUUCGAAAGGAACGCUAAUACCGCAUAACAUCCUGUCUUUAGACAGAUGGAGAUCAAAGCCGGGACCGCAAGGCCUGGCGCUUGAAGAGGAGCCCGCGCCCGAUUAGCAGUUGGUGAGGUAACGGCUCACCAAGGCGACGAUCGGUAGCCGGCCUGAGA
RNAcentral lists this ribosomal RNA (279 nucleotides) under uncultured bacterium. RNAcentral's name for it is "partial 16S ribosomal RNA". It matches the Rfam family "Bacterial small subunit ribosomal RNA", at positions 32 to 297 of the family's 1533-position model. The record is from RNAcentral.